This 208-nucleotide ribosomal RNA is filed under the name uncultured bacterium. Its description in RNAcentral is "partial 16S ribosomal RNA". It matches the Rfam family "Bacterial small subunit ribosomal RNA", at positions 568 to 774 of the family's 1533-position model. The record is from RNAcentral.
UGCGUAGGUGGCGCCAUAAGUCAGGUGUGAAAUCUCGGGGCUUAACUCCGAAACUGCAUUUGAUACUGUGGUGCUUGAGGACUGGAGAGGAGACUGGAAUUCACGGUGUAGCAGUGAAAUGCGUAGAUAUCGUGAGGAAGACCAGUGGCGAAGGCGGGUCUCUGGACAGUUCCUGACACUGAGGCACGGAAGGCCAGGGGAGCAAACG